GCAAGCGUCACGAGCCAUGCAAGGUUCCAAUUUUUUGUGGUAUUACAUUGGUGGAUCAGUGGCAGCAGUAAAUGUCGUUUCGCUGAUUGCCUGUUUUUUUUGCAAGCGUCGAAGGACAGCUAUGGCUCUUCCUGAUCAAGAGCAGGCAAUUCAGAUGGAGCCAUUGAAUGUAGAGGUAGAUGAAUGGGAGAUUGAGGUGAGCCGUGUCCUGCU
Long non-coding RNA from Stylophora pistillata, 213 nucleotides. Lineage: Eukaryota; Metazoa; Cnidaria; Anthozoa; Scleractinia; Pocilloporidae. The record is from RefSeq and is a predicted model, not a curated record.